AAAAUUUAAAUAAAAAAUACUAAAAUAGUAGAUAAUUAUUUAUUGAAACUUAAAUAAUUUGGCGGUAUUUUAGUUCAUUUAGAGGAAUCUGUUUAAUAAUUGAUAUUCCACGAAUAAAUUUACUUAAUUUAUAAUUUUAUAUAUCGUUGUUUUAAAAAUAUUUUUUAAUAAAAUUAAUAUUUUAAAAUUAAUAUUAGAAAUUAAAUCAGAUCAAGAUGUAGAUUAUAAUUAAGAAUAUAAUGGAUUACAAUAAAUUUAUUUAAAUGAAUAUUAAUUUGUAAGAGUUGAUUGAAGGUGGAUUUAAAUGUAAUUUUAUUUAAUUUAGUAAAAUGAUUAAAAAUUAAAAUAUGU
This 351-nucleotide ribosomal RNA is filed under the name Carelis sp. CATAG4883. Its description in RNAcentral is "partial 12S small subunit ribosomal RNA". The record is from RNAcentral. Lineage: Eukaryota; Metazoa; Arthropoda; Insecta; Lepidoptera; Noctuidae.